Long non-coding RNA from Scleropages formosus (Asian bonytongue), 1639 nucleotides. The record is from Ensembl. NCBI's taxonomy places the organism in Eukaryota, Metazoa, Chordata, Actinopteri, Osteoglossiformes, Osteoglossidae.
AGGGUACACAGAUUCUCCCAUAAAAAAUAUAGGCACACGGGCAUAUAAAAUCUCAACAUGGAAAAUAAAGAGAUGGGACAACCAGCAGAGAACUCUUAUCAUAGUUAUUACAUAAGAUGCUCCUGUAGAUAGGUGUUGUUUCAAAAAUAAUAUCUGUAACAGAGCAGGCCUCCAGUAGUACAAUUUAUUAUUUUUCAAAGCAGAAGAGGCAACAUUGAAAUUAUUCAUAAUGUAUACAUUUGCAUUGAAAAUGUCAAUUAAAAAUCUGGCCCGGGAGUAAAAGUGACUAUGCGUUUUGAAGUAAACUAAAAGAAAACGGAACAGGACAUUAGGAAAGCUCCGGGAAGCUGGUCCCCCUACAAACAGCAGAAAUGAGAAAGGAAAAAAAUAAAACAUGAUUCACGGAAUUCAAAAGGAACGAGGGACUGAAAGCAGAGCAGCAAAAAACAAAGGGGUGCGCGGAGGAGACUUUUUUUGAAUAUUUUCUUGAAAUAACCAAUAGGGAGGCCAGACUGGUUAAGGGGCGGAGCCUGAGUACAAACGAAAUUAGCGUAGGAUUCACUAGAUGCAGAAGAAACGGCGAGGCGCUCAGCGGUGCGGUGCUGCGCGCUCUGAUGGACUGACAGCUGCACCCUCACUUUUGAAGCAAAAACUCUGGAAAAGCAGUGAGAGGACAAAGUGGAGAAAAACAAAACCUUUGAAAUGAAUAACUUCAAAACUCGGACUUGACAGAACAUUAAAAUUAAAAAAAAAAAAGAAAAACACCCACUCACACAGACAAGGGGAAACCAGAAAAAUAAGGAGAACAUUUUCCAGCUUGAUCCAGGAAUCCUCACUUUGUCACAAUGAAUUUAUCGACCAAUGUAACCACUUUAAACUUGACGGGAGGGGCCGGCCACUCUUACCAGUACUCCUUCCCCGAGGAAGAGCCCCUCUUCAAGGACUACAGGCCCCCACCAAGAGAACUGAUCCCGCUACCCAAAGCGGUGCUCUACCUGCUCAUGGCUGCGUUGGUGGUGGUGGCAGUAGCCUAUGCCAUCGUGGGACAUCUCAUCAAGGACCUCGCCAGAGACAUUGCAGACUGUGUGCUGGGGCCCGAUGAGGACGAUCCUGAGAAGGUGACGGACCUGAGGUGCAACAGUCCGGUCCAGGUGCCAGCAAUACUCCCCCACUCACACAGCAACGCCUUCCACGUGUGGGACCAAGAUGAUGUGGUCAUCCCACUGUCUCCAGAGGAGAGCCCACAGACGAGCCCUCUGCUGCUGGCAGCCAUUCCCUACAUCCCAUCAUUUUUCCCCACUCACGGCACACCAGUUUCCACUGGGACAGCCCCUGGGAGUCCUGGGCUCACUCAGUCACUGCCUCGUGACAUCUAGGACCUGAAUUAACCUGCGCACGCUCAUGUUCAUUUUUCUGCUCAAGACUCUCAGUUGGAUUAUAACACUGGUCAUCUAACUGGACUCCUAUUACGAAAUCAAAACAUGGAAUUUUUUUUUUCCAGUCCCUAUUGGAUGGAGUAAAGAUUCUCAAGGCUAACAUUGCAGUUAUACUUGAUCGACAGAGCAGAAUGAAAAAGUGUAUUCUGAAUUUUGUGCUAGCGAUGAAUAAAAUUGUAUGUAAAAUGUUCUGUUUCUUUGUC